CCUACGGGAGGCAGCAGUGAGGAAUAUUGGUCAAUGGACGAGAGUCUGAACCAGCCAAGUAGCGUGAAGGAUGACUGCCCUAUGGGUUGUAAACUUCUUUUAUAAAGGAAUAAAACGAGGCACGUGUGCCUCUUUGCAUGUACUUUAUGAAUAAGGAUCGGCUAACUCCGUGCCAGCAGCCGCGGUAAUACGGAGGAUCCGAGCGUUAUCCGGAUUUAUUGGGUUUAAAGGGAGCGUAGAUGGGUUGUUAAGUCAGUUGUGAAAGUUUGCGGCUCAACCGUAAAAUUGCAAUUGAUACUGGCAGUCUUGAGUACAGUUGAGGUAGGCGGAAUUCGUGGUGUAGCGGUGAAAUGCUGAGAUAUCACGAAGAACCCCGAUUGCGAAGGCAGCUUACUAAACUGUGACUGACAUUGAUGCUCGAAAGUGUGGGUAUCAAACAGGAUUAGAUACCCGGGUAGUC
This 460-nucleotide ribosomal RNA is filed under the name uncultured bacterium. RNAcentral's name for it is "partial 16S ribosomal RNA". It matches the Rfam family "Bacterial small subunit ribosomal RNA", at positions 338 to 795 of the family's 1533-position model. The record is from RNAcentral.